RNAcentral lists this ribosomal RNA (440 nucleotides) under uncultured cyanobacterium. RNAcentral's name for it is "bacterial SSU rRNA". It matches the Rfam family "Bacterial small subunit ribosomal RNA", at positions 338 to 793 of the family's 1533-position model. Lineage: Bacteria; Bacillati; Cyanobacteriota. The record is from RNAcentral.
CCUACGGGAGGCAGCAGUGGGGAAUUUUCCGCAAUGGGCGCAAGCCUGACGGAGCAAUGCCGCGUGGAGGAAGAAAGCCUGUGGGUCGUAAACUCCUUUUCUCAGAGAAGAAGCUCUGACGGUAUCUGAGGAAUCAGCAUCGGCUAACUCCGUGCCAGCAGCCGCGGUAAUACGGAGGAUGCAAGCGUUAUCCGGAUUGAUUGGGCGUAAAGCGUCUGUAGGUGGUUACGCUAGUCGGCUGUUAAAGAUCAGGGCUGAACCCUGAGCAAGCAGUCGAAACUGCGUGGCUGGAGUACGGUAGGGGCAGAGGGAAUUCCCGGUGUAGCGGUGAAAUGCGUAGAUAUCGGGAAGAACACCAAAGGCGAAAGCGCUCUGCUGGGCCGAAACUGACACUGAGAGACGAAAGCUAGGGGAGCGAAUGGGAUUAGAUACGCCAGUAG